Long non-coding RNA from Panicum virgatum (switchgrass), 1590 nucleotides. RefSeq lists it as uncharacterized. NCBI's taxonomy places the organism in Eukaryota, Viridiplantae, Streptophyta, Magnoliopsida, Poales, Poaceae. The transcript is spliced from 2 exons. The record is from RefSeq and is a predicted model, not a curated record.
CUUCUUCACUCAUGCUUAAAAAAUGUUGGGGAGCUUUGGGGGCUCCAUGGGUUCUAUGGGAGUAGGGGGGCUGGAGCACCCCUAGCACCCCCCUGGCUCCGCCACUGUGUACAAGGGGAUGGUGGAGGUCCUCUCCAAUCCCGGCGGAUACGGUAAUGAUGAUAGCAUCUUUCUGCUUUCAGCUGUUCUCUUUAGCACUUUAUUUCAGUGAACAAUGGUCCAAUUGAUACUGAAUUGUUCGAGAUCUCUGAAUUGCAUACUCUGCAUCAUGCAUAUGGAACUAUUAGUUCAGACUUCAGAUGUUCCUACGAAACCACAAGGCAUAUGUUGAUGAGGAUACUUCAGAACAUCAACUUACUUGAAUUGGCACAGAACUAAUCAUGAUCUAUCAAUGUAACCAAGCACCCUGCACAAUGGUCGAAUGGAUCCUGAGUUUUUCCCGGUCACUGAAUUGCAUACUCUGCCUCAUGAUGACCAUGCACAAUUCUUGCUUAUGCUGUGUUCUACACAUCUGCUUUUAGAGUUCUUGUUCUACACAUCUAGCCUGCUCUGCAGAACAAUAGUCAGCUGCCAAGCAAGGUGUCUGAUCAUAACAUUUACAACACACUUAAGCAUACUGCAAUAAGCAUGUGCUGCAACUCCGUAAGCCACUAACUUUCCAAAUUUGGAAUACAUGAGUCUCGCCCUACCAACCAUUGUUAGCCACCUUAUUAACCUUACUUAGGAGUUAUUUCUUAUAUCCAACGCCUGAAAUGAAUUUCUCUUGAGACCAUUCCCAACUGAACUCCUACUAAUAGCUGGUGAAAAUAGUUUGAACCUGUAGAAGUAACAUUCCAUGAUGAUGGUUUUCUGGUGAAAGUGAGAGGUAUCUCUGACUGAUCCCCCUUUGACCUUUGUCCAAGUAUUGUGCUUCGAUAUAUGAUGGUGGCAGGUUAAGGUUUUUUCCCCCCAUUCUGAACUCUGAAUUUGUGCAAGAUUUACCUAAUGUUUAUUACAUGGUUGGAGAAUUAAAAACAGCUGGCUUGAUGGGUGCAUUUUAUCGACGUUGUUUUUUUCCCCAUUUAGACUUAAUUUGGAUGCCAAUUCUUCUGCAGUGGGCGAGCAACACGGCUCAGCUGGGUUAGAGGGCCGGCCUCUUCAUGUCUGUUUCCACGAAUUCAGAAUACAUUACGAGGGAACCAAGCACCUUGCUGUUGGCCAGUCCAUCCACUGAAACCCCUUCUCUGCUGGUGGCCAUACGUGGAGGAUAAGCUGCUUUUUUGCGUGGAAAUGCUCCCUCUAACAGGGGGAAAACCAUUCCGUCUAAGUAAUGACCAAAGGAACUGCUUAUCUUGAACAUCAGAUGCAUAGAGGCUGGCUGAUCAUGCCGGCAUUUUCCAAACUAUCAAAUGCUGCUACAAGACAUUGUCGACGCCACCGAAGCACCCUAGCUGUUUAGAUCAUCAGCCCUCUUGGACUCCAGCAGCUCCUCAGCUGAACCGAAUGGAGAUUUAAAUUGUAAUAUAAUCAGUAUUGCUCCUGGAUAAUUGCCAUCUAUAACCUCCUGAUCCCUUUACCAAAGAGCUAAUUACACUGCAGUGUUCCUUAUAA